This 253-nucleotide unclassified non-coding RNA is filed under the name uncultured Gammaproteobacteria bacterium. RNAcentral's name for it is "contains 16S-23S intergenic spacer region". It matches the Rfam family "Bacterial small subunit ribosomal RNA", at positions 524 to 776 of the family's 1533-position model. Lineage: Bacteria; Pseudomonadati; Pseudomonadota; Gammaproteobacteria. The record is from RNAcentral.
UACGUAGGGUGCAAGCGUUAAUCGGAAUUACUGGGCGUAAAGCGAGCGCAGGCGGUCGUGUAAGACAGAUGUGAAAUCCCAGGGCUCAACCUUGGAACUGCAUUUGUGACUGCACGGCUAGAGUGCGUCAGAGGGGGGUGGAACUCCACGUGUAGCAGUGAAAUGCGUAGAGAUGUGGAAGAACACCGAUGGCGAAGGCAGCCCCCUGGGAUGACACUGACGCUCAUGCUCGAAAGCGUGGGGAGCAAACAGG